This 252-nucleotide ribosomal RNA is filed under the name uncultured bacterium. RNAcentral's name for it is "partial 16S ribosomal RNA". It matches the Rfam family "Bacterial small subunit ribosomal RNA", at positions 524 to 776 of the family's 1533-position model. The record is from RNAcentral.
UACGGAGGAUGCGAGCGUUAUCCGGAUUUAUUGGGUUUAAAGGGUGCGUAGGCGGGAUGCCAAGUCAGCGGUAAAAAUGCGGUGCUCAACGCCGUCGAGCCGUUGAAACUGGCGUUCUUGAGUGGGCGUGAAGUAUGCGGAAUGCGUGGUGUAGCGGUGAAAUGCAUAGAUAUCACGCAGAACUCCGAUUGCGAAGGCAGCAUACCGGCGCCCUACUGACGCUGAGGCACGAAAGCGUGGGUAUCGAACAGG